ACCCUCAUCAGUCAGAUGUAGAGUUUAAUUUUGGAGAGGCAGAUAAAGGAUCCAGUUCUGUUGAUGCAGUGAUUGAGUCUCUUCUUGAAGAUGAACAUGCAGGCGAUCACCCUCAUCAGUCGGAUGUAGAGUUUAUUGACGCAGAAUCAGAUAAAGGAUCUGGUUCUGUUGAUGCAGUGAUUGAGUCUUACCUUGGAGAUGCAUAUGCAGGUGACCACCCUCAUCAGUCGGAUGUAGAGUUUAUUGACGCAGAAUCAGAUAAAGGAUCUGGUUCUGUUGAUGCGGUGAUUGCGUCUUACCUUGGAGAUGCA
Magallana angulata is the source of this 311-nucleotide long non-coding RNA. RefSeq lists it as uncharacterized. The record is from RefSeq and is a predicted model, not a curated record. The transcript has 3 exons. NCBI's taxonomy places the organism in Eukaryota, Metazoa, Mollusca, Bivalvia, Ostreida, Ostreidae.